UACGAAGGGGGCUAGCGUUGCUCGGAAUCACUGGGCGUAAAGGGCGCGUAGGCGGCCAUUCAAGUCAGAGGUGAAAGCCCAAGGCUCAACCUUGGAAUUGCCUUUGAUACUGAGGAUCUUGAGUAUGGGAGAGGUGAGUGGAACUGCGAGUAUAGAGGUGAAAUUCGUAGAUAUUCGCAAGAACACCAGUGGCGAAGGCGGCUCACUGGCCCAUUACUGACGCUGAGGCACGAAAGCGUGGGGAGCAAACAGG
This 253-nucleotide ribosomal RNA is filed under the name uncultured bacterium. RNAcentral describes it as "partial 16S ribosomal RNA". It matches the Rfam family "Bacterial small subunit ribosomal RNA", at positions 524 to 776 of the family's 1533-position model. The record is from RNAcentral.